Molecule: unclassified non-coding RNA, 348 nt
Filed under: soil metagenome
Description: partial contains 5.8S ribosomal RNA, internal transcribed spacer 2, and large subunit ribosomal RNA
Rfam family: 5.8S ribosomal RNA (bases 1-120)
Source: RNAcentral
GAUGAAGAACGCAGCGAAAUGCGAUACGUAGUGUGAAUUGCAGAAUUCAGUGAAUCAUCGAAUCUUUGAACGCACAUUGCACCUCUCGGUAUUCCGGGAGGUAUGCCUGUUCGAGCGUCAUUUGUACCCUCAAGCCCCCGGGUUUGGUGUUGGGGAUCGGCUCUGCCCUUCUGGGCGGUGCCGCCCCCGAAAUACAUUGGCGGUCUCGCUGCAGCCUCCAUUGCGUAGUAGCUAACACCUCGCAACUGGAACGCGGCGCGGCCAUGCCGUAAAACCCCAACUUCUGAAUGUUGACCUCGGAUCAGGUAGGAAUACCCGCUGAACUUAAGCAUAUCAAUAAGCGGAGGA